UCGGAUAUGGUGUAACGGCUAACAUUGCCGCCUCUCAUCUAUCACAUAUUGAGAUGGAUUUCGCGGCAGCUCGGGGUUCGAUUCCCCGUAUCCAAA
Molecule: transfer RNA, 96 nt
Filed under: Armillaria luteobubalina
Lineage: Eukaryota; Fungi; Basidiomycota; Agaricomycetes; Agaricales; Physalacriaceae
Description: tRNA-Glu
Source: RNAcentral